RNAcentral lists this ribosomal RNA (490 nucleotides) under uncultured bacterium. RNAcentral describes it as "partial 16S ribosomal RNA". It matches the Rfam family "Bacterial small subunit ribosomal RNA", at positions 28 to 507 of the family's 1533-position model. The record is from RNAcentral.
GAUGAACGCUAGCGAUAGGCUUAACACAUGCAAGUCGAGGGGCAGCAUGGUCUUAGCUUGCUAAGACUGAUGGCGACCGGCGCACGGGUGCGUAACGCGUAUGCAACUUGCCUCACAGAGGGGGAUAACCCGUCGAAAGACGGACUAAUACCGCGUACACUUGGGAUAGGGCAUCCUGACCCAAGGAAAUGAAAUUCGCUGUGAGAUAGGCAUGCGUCACAUUAGCUAGUUGGUGAGGUAACGCCUCACCAAGGCGACGAUGGGUAGGGGAACUGAGAGGUUGAACCCCCACACUGGUACCGAGACACGGACCAGACUCGUACGGGAGGCAGCAGUGAGGAAGAUUGGUCAAUGGGCGAGAGCCUGAACCAGCCAAGUCGCGUGAAGGAUGACUGUCUUAUGGAUUGUAAACUUCUUUUAUACGGGAAUAACAAGAGUCACGUGUGGCUCCCUGCAUGUACCGUAUGAAUAAGCAUCGGCUAACUCCGUG